Chelonia mydas (Green sea turtle) is the source of this 1371-nucleotide long non-coding RNA. RefSeq lists it as uncharacterized. NCBI's taxonomy places the organism in Eukaryota, Metazoa, Chordata, Testudines, Cheloniidae. The transcript has 4 exons. The record is from RefSeq and is a predicted model, not a curated record.
AGGAGGCAGGGGUGGUCAUACUGGAUUAAUGCAGAAGCUUCCUGAAAUGUAGUUGGCUGAAUUGUCAUGCAGAGAACUUUAAUGUUAAACUCUGGCAAUGGAAAGUUUUCCUGGGGCUGGGGAUGAAAGGAUAUGAACAGAGAUUAGAAAGAACCUUUCUGCAAUAGCAGAAGGCCAGACAUCACCUGCGAAAACUGAUAAUAUGGUUCUUAUGGUGAAGACAAAUGGAGAAUGAAAGAAUGCUAAAUUUCAAACUCAUUCAGAGACUGUGGCUUUGCAGUUUUGUCAAUGCACUGAAAACUAUGGAAUAUUGACAUUCUCUUGUGAGAUAUAUACCAGCUCUCCUCUGCUUUACCCAUCACACCAUUCUGUCCUGACCUUUGACCUUCACAAUCCGUUUCCUGAAUGCUUACUUGUCUUCAGCCAACAUGGAUCUCCUGCAUCUGUUUUCAGCUGCUUUUAAACCCCAGAAUGUAUUGCUUUUGUCAAUAACAGCAGGAAUAAUGUUGACUCAAAGGGACACAUUCAUUGCUGGCAUAAUUCCACUAACUCCCAGCAGAGAAUUUAAACCAAAGUUUAAAGGAAACUUACUGAGGCCAGCAGGGCUGGUAGCUUUUGGCAGAAGUAGUCCCGCAUGUCCUGAGCAUGUUAGCAGCCAGAGGAUGAGGCAGGAUACACUGCUAGAUAACCCAGACUUCAUUUUCUUUUAAUCUGCCUUGACAAGGCCUUCUGUACAGUAUAAAUCCUAAGGUCUGUAUGACAUCAGCUUUUUAAAGCAUGGAGAGUUUGUAUUAGCAACUAAUUUUAUUUUUAUUACAUAAAAACACAAAACCCAGCAGCAACCAGAUCCUCUUAUUGGAUGCAGUCCCAAUUUCUGCUUUUCAAGAUGGAGGAUGACCUUUGAUCUCUGCAGCCUCAGCCACAUUCUUUCCUAACAGCAGCAGCUGUUCCACACAUUGUAUAAUAUUUAUGUUAGAGAGAAAGAAUGUGGAGGUCACUCAUGGGUAUUUUUUUUCUCCAUGAAAACUGCUUUUCUUUUUCCUCCAUUGUGCAGGAAAAUACCACCCAAUAUUUUACCUUUCUUGAACCCACUGAAAACUGGAAUCUUCACCAGUUGUUUGACUCUAUUUACUAAGCUCGUUUUUUGUGAUAGUCACUCUUAGAUGAUGUGACUGUCAAUACAUAACCCAGAUUACCAACUUUUGUGACCUGGAGGUUUAAAAGCAGCAGGAGCAAAAGGAACAUAAUUAAAGGACCCCUACAGCAUCAGUCCUACCAGAUUUACUGCUUUUGAGGGACCUGCAGCCUUGGAAGUGAAUUGACCUCAGCAAGUUCACCAGUGGAAUGAAAAGGGAAGAAGAGAUGGGGCAC